GGAGAAGCAUGGCUGAAGUUUGUUAGUAUAGUAACAACUUUAGCUAUUUCAAAUCUGAAUUUUUCUGCAAAACUUUCAUAGGUACAGGAACUAUGCAGAAAUUUAGUAUGGAUGUGUAUAGCACUAGUUGGUAGAUCAGGAAAGAAAUUUUAACUUAUCCUUCUUUGUCACUUCAACUUUUGCUAUGCAAUUUUUCUGUUGCAAUUUAACUUCUACCACCUUUAAAAAAGGGUGAGCAAUUGUAUAGAGGAAAUGUUCCUUUGAAGUGUUUCCCUUCUCUUUUUUUUUCAAUACAUACUCCUCUCCCUCUUUUUCUGAAUCCAAAUUCAUCUACUGUAGCCUCUAUGAGAAGCUAUGCAAUAGGAAAUAUAUAGAUUUGGGUCAGGGACAGACAAGGACAAUUUCAGAGCCUGUAUGACUUUUUUCCAGUAUGAAUCUCCAGGCUUUCAGGAGCAACAUUGUUUGCACUCACUGUUCAAGUUUUUGCUAUUGGUGUCCAGGUGCAUGAUGAAGCACAGAAGAGAGUGAUUGUGAGUACUCACAAUUAAGUGAGUGUAUAUAAAAUUCAAUAUGAGCACUGUCAUGCAGAAAAGAUACUUGGCCAGUAUUGAGUUGAAAAAAUCAUGCAGAGGAGUGUUGAAGAGAAGACAUGUUAUUCACUACUUAUUAUCUGUUAAGAAAACUGUGAAAAGCUUAAAGGCCCAGAAGGCAGCAUCUCCUCCAGCUUUCAGGGUUCCCCACUAUUCCUCUGAGAGCUUCAAAGAAGAGCUUUGCAUUCAAAACCAGGAAUUUGGCAUAAAAAGAAGAUGGAACACAUGAGGCAGAGGUGGUCAUAGUAUGUCAGUUGUCAGAUGAGGAAGGAUGAUAAAGUUAAAUCUCUUCUCCUGAAUUUGUUCUGCUGUAACAGACUGAUGCCUGAGCAGGUGUUGAGGAAUGAUUGCUUCCUCACAGUUGAUGUGAUUCCAGUUUCACUGCACCCAGGUGAAGAGUAUGAGCUGCAUAAAAAACAAAAUCUGAGACAACACAUUGAAAAAAAAGUGAUUAACCAUGGAGAAUGGAGCAAACCCUACUCAAUAGAGGAAAACUUUUCCAUAAAGUGUUUGAAACUUCUGAUUUGAAAUCAUUGACCUGA
Molecule: long non-coding RNA, 1132 nt
Organism: Passer montanus (Eurasian tree sparrow)
Lineage: Eukaryota; Metazoa; Chordata; Aves; Passeriformes; Passeridae
Exons: 6
Source: RefSeq, a predicted model, not a curated record